Molecule: ribosomal RNA, 489 nt
Filed under: uncultured bacterium
Lineage: Bacteria
Description: bacterial SSU rRNA
Rfam family: Bacterial small subunit ribosomal RNA
Source: RNAcentral
GGCUCAGAUUGAACGCUGGCGGAAUGCUUUACACAUGCAAGUCGAACGGCAGCACGGGGCAACCUGGUGGCGAGUGGCGAACGGGUGAGUAAUACAUCGGAACGUGCCCAAUCGUGGGGGAUAACGUAGCGAAAGUUACGCUAAUACCGCAUACGAUCUACGGAUGAAAGCGGGGGAUCGCAAGACCUCGCGCGAAUGGAGCGGCCGAUGUCAGAUUAGGUAGUUGGUGGGGUAAAGGCUCACCAAGCCAACGAUCUGUAGCUGGUCUGAGAGGACGACCAGCCACACUGGAACUGAGACACGGUCCAGACUCCUACGGGAGGCAGCAGUGGGGAAUUUUGGACAAUGGGCGCAAGCCUGAUCCAGCCAUGCCGCGUGAGUGAAGAAGGCCUUCGGGUUGUAAAGCUCUUUCGGCCGGGAAGAAAUCGCAUGGGUUAAUACCCUGUGUGGAUGACGGUACCGGAAUAAGAAGCACCGGCUAACUACGUG